Molecule: unclassified non-coding RNA, 377 nt
Filed under: plant metagenome
Description: partial contains 5.8S ribosomal RNA, internal transcribed spacer 2, and large subunit ribosomal RNA
Rfam family: 5.8S ribosomal RNA (bases 1-105)
Source: RNAcentral
GAAAUGCGAUAAGUAAUGUGAAUUGCAGAAUUCAGUGAAUCAUCGAAUCUUUGAACGCACCUUGCGCUCCUUGGUAUUCCUUGGAGCAUGCCUGUUUGAGUAUCAUGAAAUCUUCAAAGUAAAUCUUUUGUUAACUCAAUUGGUUUCUACUUUGGUAUUGGAGGUCUUUGCAGCUUCACACCUGCUCCUCUUUGUUCAUUAGCUGGAUCUCAGUGUUAUGCUUGGUUCCACUCGGCGUGAUAAGUUAUCUAUCGCUGAGGACACUGUAAAAGGUGGCCAAGGUAAAUGCAGAUGAACCGCUUCUAAUAGUCCAUUACUUGGACAAUACUUUUAUGAUCUGAUCUCAAAUCAGGUAGGACUACCCGCUGAACUUAAGC